GUGGGGAAUCUUGCGCAAUGGGGGGAACCCUGACGCAGCGACGCCGCGUGCGGGAUGGAGGCCUUCGGGUCGUGAACCGCUUUCAGCAGGGACGAGAGUGACGGUACCUGCAGAAGAAGCCCCGGCUAACUACGUGCCAGCAGCCGCGGUAAUACGUAGGGGGCGAGCGUUAUCCGGAUUCAUUGGGCGUAAAGCGCGCGUAGGCGGCCGCGCAGGCGGGGGGUCAAAUCCCGGGGCUCAACCCCGGGCCGCCCCCCGAACCGCGCGGCUUGGGUCCGGCAGGGGAGGGUGGAACGCCCGGUGUAGCGGUGGAAUGCGCAGAUAUCGGGCGGAACACCGGUGGCGAAGGCGGCCCUCUGGGCCGGCACCGACGCUGAGGCGCGAGAGCUAGGGGAGCGAACAGGAUUAGAAACCCCAGUAGUCC
Molecule: ribosomal RNA, 424 nt
Filed under: uncultured bacterium
Lineage: Bacteria
Description: bacterial SSU rRNA
Rfam family: Bacterial small subunit ribosomal RNA
Source: RNAcentral